RNAcentral lists this unclassified non-coding RNA (346 nucleotides) under soil metagenome. Its description in RNAcentral is "partial contains 5.8S ribosomal RNA, internal transcribed spacer 2, and large subunit ribosomal RNA". The stretch from base 1 to 120 matches the Rfam family "5.8S ribosomal RNA", at positions 35 to 154 of the family's 154-position model. The record is from RNAcentral.
GAUGAAGAACGUAGCGAAAUGCGAUAAGUAAUGUGAAUUGCAGAAUUCAGUGAAUCAUCGAAUCUUUGAACGCACAUUGCGCCCGCUAGUAUUCUGGCGGGCAUGCCUGUCCGAGCGUCAUUUCAACCCUCAAGCCCCCGGGCUUGGUGUUGGGGAUCGGCGAGCCUCCGCGCCCGCCGUCCCCUAAAUCUAGUGGCGGUCUCGCUGUAGCUUCCUCUGCGUAGUAGCUAACACCUCGCGACUGGAGAGCGGCGCGGCCACGCCGUAAAACACCCAACUCUUCUGAAGUUGACCUCGAAUCAGGUAGGAAUACCCGCUGAACUUAAGCAUAUCAAUAAGCGGAGGA